GAGGGCUUAGUUAGGCCUAGGUGACGGUACUUCUCUUGACUAUCUACCAGUUCGGGAAAACCCUGUAGGUUUUGAAGCCGGACUUAAAGUGUAGUUUCCGCUUGAGGUAGACAGACGUCAUGGAGCAGCUCCCAGGAGCAGUGGUAGGCUAAUUGUAUUUUCUACUGCAGCUCAGGG
Long non-coding RNA from Orcinus orca (killer whale), 177 nucleotides. RefSeq lists it as uncharacterized. The record is from RefSeq and is a predicted model, not a curated record. Lineage: Eukaryota; Metazoa; Chordata; Mammalia; Artiodactyla; Delphinidae. The transcript is spliced from 3 exons.